GGAGCAUCGAUAUGUGUGUGUCUGGUUUGC
RNAcentral lists this non-coding RNA (30 nucleotides) under Rattus norvegicus (Norway rat). Lineage: Eukaryota; Metazoa; Chordata; Mammalia; Rodentia; Muridae. The record is from RNAcentral.